Molecule: transfer RNA, 92 nt
Filed under: Herbiconiux daphne
Lineage: Bacteria; Bacillati; Actinomycetota; Actinomycetes; Micrococcales; Microbacteriaceae
Description: tRNA-Ser
Rfam family: tRNA
About the family: Transfer RNA (tRNA) molecules are approximately 80 nucleotides in length.
Source: RNAcentral
GGAGAGGUGGUAGAGUCUGGUUGAUUACAUCGGUCUUGAAAACCGAAGCUCCUUAAUCGGGGCCCAGGGUUCGAAUCCCUGUCUCUCCUCCA